GAUGACAUUCGAACGGUGAACACGGAGCUUGCUCUGUGGGAUCAGUGGCGAACGGGUGAGUAACACGUGAGCAACCUGCCCCUGACUCUGGGAUAAGCGCUGGAAACGGCGUCUAAUACUGGAUAUGUGACGUGACCGCAUGGUCUGCGUCUGGAAAGAAUUUCGGUUGGGGAUGGGCUCGCGGCCUAUCAGCUUGUUGGUGAGGUAAUGGCUCACCAAGGCGUCGACGGGUAGCCGGCCUGAGAGGGUGACCGGCCACACUGGGACUGAGACACGGCCCAGACUCCUACGGGAGGCAGCAGUGGGGAAUAUUGCACAAUGGGCGCAAGCCUGAUGCAGCAACGCCGCGUGAGGGACGACGGCCUUCGGGUUGUAAACCUCUUUUAGCAGGGAAGAAGCGAAAGUGACGGUACCUGCAGAAAAAGCGCCGGCUAACUACGUGCCAGCAGCCGCGGUAAUACGUAGGGCGCAAGCGUUAUCCGGAAUUAUUGGGCGUAAAGAGCUCGUAGGCGGUUUGUCGCGUCUGCUGUGAAAUCCGGAGGCUCAACCUCCGGCCUGCAGUGGGUACGGGCAGACUAGAGUGCGGUAGGGGAGAUUGGAAAUUCCUGGUGUAGCGGUGGAAUGCGCAGAUAUCAGGAGGAACACCGAUGGCGAAG
Molecule: ribosomal RNA, 656 nt
Filed under: Microbacterium sp.
Lineage: Bacteria; Bacillati; Actinomycetota; Actinomycetes; Micrococcales; Microbacteriaceae
Description: bacterial SSU rRNA
Rfam family: Bacterial small subunit ribosomal RNA
Source: RNAcentral